Pelobates cultripes (western spadefoot toad) is the source of this 445-nucleotide non-coding RNA. NCBI's taxonomy places the organism in Eukaryota, Metazoa, Chordata, Amphibia, Anura, Pelobatidae. The record is from the annotation of a GenBank genome assembly.
UGUGUGUGUUCAUAUCAGUUUGUGUGUCUCUGUGUGUCACUGUGUGUAUUUGUCAGUGUAUCUGAGUUUGUGUAUGUGUGCCAGUAUGUUUAUUUGUGUGUCCCUGUUUGCAUCUGAGGGUGUAUCUUUGUGUCUGUGUUUAUUUGUCUGUCAGUGUUUGUAUCUGAGUGUGUGUGUAUAUGUGCCAGUGUAUGUAUGUCAGCGCAUAUAUUAAUGUGUGUGUAUUUGUGUAUAUAUGUUAUUGUUUAUCUAUAUCUCUGUAAGUAUUUAAGUAUGAAGUAGUGUAUGUGCAUACACCGCAGCAAACAUCAACACAGCAUGCAAACACACCCCUGCAAUCUAACGCAAACAUUACAUACAAACACACCUCUGCACUCAAACUCUAAAAUUAUGUACAAACACACAAUUUAAAAGGCAACACUACAUCAAAAAACAUCAACACACU